UCCCUGGAAGUCCAGUGGUUAGGAGUUGGCACUUCCACUGCCAUGGCCCAAGUUCAAGCUCCGGUCAGGGAA
This 72-nucleotide transfer RNA is filed under the name Bos taurus (domestic cattle). It matches the Rfam family "tRNA". From Rfam's summary of the family: Transfer RNA (tRNA) molecules are approximately 80 nucleotides in length. Their secondary structure includes four short double-helical elements and three loops (D, anti-codon, and T loops). Lineage: Eukaryota; Metazoa; Chordata; Mammalia; Artiodactyla; Bovidae. RNAcentral also lists the same sequence under 1 other name. The record is from Rfam by way of RNAcentral.